This 495-nucleotide ribosomal RNA is filed under the name uncultured bacterium. Its description in RNAcentral is "partial 16S ribosomal RNA". It matches the Rfam family "Bacterial small subunit ribosomal RNA", at positions 28 to 507 of the family's 1533-position model. The record is from RNAcentral.
GACGAACGCUGGCGGCGUGCCUAAUACAUGCAAGUAGAACGCUGAAGGAGGAGCUUGCUUCUCUGGAUGUGUUGCGCGCGGGUGAGUAACGCGUAGGUAACCUGCCUGGUAGCGGGGGAUAUCUAUUGGAAACGAUAGCUAAUAUCGCAUAAUAUUGACUAUUGCAUGAUAGUCAGUUGAAAGGUGCAACUGCACCACUACCUGAUGGACCUGCGUUGUAUUAGUUAGUUGGUGGGGUAACGGCCCACCACGGCGACGAUACAUAGCCGACCUGAGAGGGUGAUCGGCCACCCUGGGACUGGGACACGGCCCAGACUCCUACGGGAGGCAGCAGUAAGGAAUUUUCGGCAAUGGACGGAAGUCUGACCGAGCAACGCCGCGUGAGUGAAGAAGGGUUUCGGAUCGUAAAGCUCUGUUGUAAGAGAAGAACGAGUGUGAGAGUGGAAAGCUCACACUGUGACGGUAUCUUACCAGAAAGGGACGGCUAACUACGUG